UCCAGCCAUGCCGCGUGUGUGAAGAAGGCCUUUUGGUUGUAAAGCACUUUAAGCGAGGAGGAGGCUACUUGGAUUAAUACUCUAGGAUAGUGGACGUUACUCGCAGAAUAAGCACCGGCUAACUCUGUGCCAGCAGCCGCGGUAAUACAGAGGGUGCGAGCGUUAAUCGGAUUUACUGGGCGUAAAGCGUGCGUAGGCGGCUUCUUAAGUCGGAUGUGAAAUCCCUGAGCUUAACUUAGGAAUUGCAUUCGAUACUGGGAAGCUAGAGUAUGGGAGAGGAUGGUAGAAUUCCAGGUGUAGCGGUGAAAUGCGUAGAGAUCUGGAGGAAUACCGAUGGCGAAGGCAGCCAUCUGGCCUAAUACUGACGCUGAGGUACGAAAGCAUGGGGAGCAAACAGGAUUAGAUACCCUGGUAGUCCAUGCCGUAAACGAUGUCUACUAGCCGUUGGGGCCUUUGAGGCUUUAGUGGCGCAGCUAACGCGAUAAGUAGACCGCCUGGGGAGUACGGUCGCAAGACUAAAACUCAAAUGAAUUGACGGGGGCCCGCACAAGCGGUGGAGCAUGUGGUUUAAUUCGAUGCAACGCGAAGAACCUUACCUGGUCUUGACAUAGUAAGAACUUUCCAGAGAUGGAUUGGUGCCUUCGGGAACUUACAUACAGGUGCUGCAUGGCUGUCGUCAGCUCGUGUCGUGAGAUGUUGGGUUAAGUCCCGCAAACGAGCGCAACCCUUUUCCUUAUUGACCAGCGGGUUAAGCCGGGAACUUUAAGGAUACUGCCAGUGACAAACUGGAGGAAGGCGGGGACGACGUCAAGUCAUCAUGGCCCUUUACGACCAGGGGCUAC
Molecule: ribosomal RNA, 842 nt
Filed under: Acinetobacter sp. CJJH11
Lineage: Bacteria; Pseudomonadati; Pseudomonadota; Gammaproteobacteria; Moraxellales; Moraxellaceae
Description: bacterial SSU rRNA
Rfam family: Bacterial small subunit ribosomal RNA
Source: RNAcentral